Long non-coding RNA from Cebus imitator (Panamanian white-faced capuchin), 230 nucleotides. RefSeq lists it as uncharacterized. The transcript is spliced from 2 exons. The record is from RefSeq and is a predicted model, not a curated record. Lineage: Eukaryota; Metazoa; Chordata; Mammalia; Primates; Cebidae.
CCACCUCGGCUUCCCGAAGUGCUGCGAUUCACAAGGUCCAUCCUACGGGUUGGAACGCUGAGGGACAGCUGAGUAAGAUUCAAUCAUGCAGAAAGGAUAACAUCCUACAGAAUGGAGAAACAAUAUGACAGGAAUCUGGGUCUCUGAAUCAUGAAGCAGAGCUAUCUAUCUGCCCUGGACCACUUGCCCACCUGUGAGGUAAUAGAGAAAUAAACUUUAAUCUAAUUUAA